GAUAAUUUCCUUGUUCAUAAACAGAAAAUACAUAGGUUAAAUGAUAGAUACUUGUGAAAAUAAUUAAAAUACAAAAGUGGAUCAAGUUUUACCAUAGCAGGAUUUCGAUCACCAAAAUUGCCACACACCACCAUACAUGUGUCCCUGGUUCACCACGUGCUGCCACAAGAGAAUCACAUAUCGCCUCACACUCGACCAUUAGAACCAGCACGGGCCACCAGAACCACCCACGCGCCACCAUGAUUUGACCAGAAAUCAUCAUAGAAUGAGUCACGCACACAUAUUCGGCUCGAAUAUGGGGAAAUCGUGCCAGAGAAAGGUGUGGAUAUGUGGAACCGCACCUAGCAUAUGAUGCGGUUCUCCUUCUUCUCUACAUGCACCAUCAUGUGUUCUCUCUCUUUGACCUUCUGGUUAUGGGCCUCUCUAUCGUACCCCAUGUCGCACGCACUAAAUCGACCUCGUCGUCGAUCUGGUCUUUUUCCUCCCAUUCUCUCUCUCUCUACUCAUUUGACUCUAUUUCUCUUCCUUCUUCUUAAUUUCUUCUCUUUAUUUUU
RNAcentral lists this long non-coding RNA (554 nucleotides) under Carica papaya (papaya). RNAcentral describes it as "long non-coding RNA (CPAP_LNC002270)". Lineage: Eukaryota; Viridiplantae; Streptophyta; Magnoliopsida; Brassicales; Caricaceae. The record is from RNAcentral.